CGUAGUGGAACGGGUGUGGACGAGACGUGACAGCCUCAUUUCUAGCCCAAGUUGCAGGGGGGGGGAAACACAUCCUCACGGGUGCCCCGUGAGAAUAUGUUCCCCCUCCCCCCAUUUUCAGGACGAUGUGGGUGGGCUACUGCUGUCGUACUCCUGCCCACCGGGUCGCCCCAAAUUAGCGGCGGGCGGCAUCACUGCGCUUUGUGUUCAGCACCAAACAACUGGUGGUAGACGUGAUCCGGACACAGCCGUCGAUUUACUGGGAGCAUGCUGCCUCGCCUAACCAGAUGUGUUGCAAGGCUCCUCUGCUGCACCGGGAACUGAUGUGGCGCCGCGCAAUUCAGGACGCGCACAUGCCGGACAAGAUGAAGGGCGUCCAGCGUGGCCGCAGCUCUGAGCCUGGAGGAGAAGAAGUGCAAGAUCGGCCGAAACAUUCGCCGUCUCGAGGCGUUGGGCGUCCUCGCGCCAUGCGGGCCCAUCGGGGGCAUCCUUGACAUGAUCGUGCAGGUAAGGCGCCUGACGCCGCCCCGCCUGCUUCCUGUCGCCGACGGCGCUUCCCACCCAUCACGAUAUCCGCGGCCAGCGUGUGCGGCGCCGGGGGGUGGAGCUCACGAAACUGGGCCAGACUCUGUGCUGCCUACUCACCAAAAGCGGCUUCCUGGGCCAGCAGGUGGACUACUAUGGACAUUACAUUAAUUCCUGUUUGGACCGGCUGACGGCCGUCGGGUAAGGCGCUCGUCAGCCGCUCCUUGGCACCCACUGGCCUUUGUCGCCUUGCAGGCGACCCGGUGAUAAGAAAAUGGCGCGCGAGCCAAAAAGAAAAUUCCGCUUGUGAGCUACACGGCCACGCGCCUGCACGAGAAAGGCGUUCUGCUGGAGAUCCAGGACCUGCCCCCCACUCAGUUCAAGAAUGUGGUCUUCAAUAUCACCAACGGCGCAGAAAAAGGAAGCUUCCUUGUCAAAGCUCGCUUCCUUGGCGUGGACAUGGAAGAAUUCCACAUCAAAUACCAGAUAACACUAAGCGCGUGUGUCAGAGCCAGCCGUCAAUCAAUUGCUCGUGUGCCUCAAGGACCCCUCCAGGUGCAGUACGACGGUGUGGCGGUGAUGAAGAUGUUUGACAAAGCCAAAGUCAACUUGCUCAUAUUCCUCCUCAAAAAAAAGUUCUUCAACAAAUGAAAAAUAAACCUUGGGGAGCUUACUUUGUUUUCAUCUUUCAAUUGAUCCACAGAUAACCACCAUCACUUUUGUACUGU
This is a long non-coding RNA of Syngnathus typhle (broad-nosed pipefish), 1253 nucleotides long. RefSeq lists it as uncharacterized. NCBI's taxonomy places the organism in Eukaryota, Metazoa, Chordata, Actinopteri, Syngnathiformes, Syngnathidae. The record is from RefSeq and is a predicted model, not a curated record. The transcript has 3 exons.